This 1601-nucleotide ribosomal RNA is filed under the name Salmonella enterica subsp. enterica serovar Enteritidis. RNAcentral's name for it is "partial 23S ribosomal RNA". It matches the Rfam family "Bacterial large subunit ribosomal RNA", at positions 1267 to 2848 of the family's 2925-position model. The record is from RNAcentral. Lineage: Bacteria; Pseudomonadati; Pseudomonadota; Gammaproteobacteria; Enterobacterales; Enterobacteriaceae.
GGCAUGCUGGAGGUAUCAGAAGUGCGAAUGCUGACAUAAGUAACGAUAAAGCGGGUGAAAAGCCCGCUCGCCGGAAGACCAAGGGUUCCUGUCCAACGUUAAUCGGGGCAGGGUGAGUCGACCCCUAAGGCGAGGCCGAAAGGCGUAGUCGAUGGGAAACGGGUUAAUAUUCCCGUACUUGGUGUUACUGCGAAGGGGGGACGGAGAAGGCUAUGUUGGCCGGGCGACGGUUGUCCCGGUUUAAGCGUGUAGGCUGGUUUUCCAGGCAAAUCCGGAAAAUCAAGGCUGAGGCGUGAUGACGAGGCACUACGGUGCUGAAGCAACAAAUGCCCUGCUUCCAGGAAAAGCCUCUAAGCAUCAGGUAACAUCAAAUCGUACCCCAAACCGACACAGGUGGUCAGGUAGAGAAUACCAAGGCGCUUGAGAGAACUCGGGUGAAGGAACUAGGCAAAAUGGUGCCGUAACUUCGGGAGAAGGCACGCUGACACGUAGGUGAAGUGAUUUACUCAUGGAGCUGAAGUCAGUCGAAGAUACCAGCUGGCUGCAACUGUUUAUUAAAAACACAGCACUGUGCAAACACGAAAGUGGACGUAUACGGUGUGACGCCUGCCCGGUGCCGGAAGGUUAAUUGAUGGGGUCAGCGCAAGCGAAGCUCCUGAUCGAAGCCCCGGUAAACGGCGGCCGUAACUAUAACGGUCCUAAGGUAGCGAAAUUCCUUGUCGGGUAAGUUCCGACCUGCACGAAUGGCGUAAUGAUGGCCAGGCUGUCUCCACCCGAGACUCAGUGAAAUUGAACUCGCUGUGAAGAUGCAGUGUACCCGCGGCAAGACGGAAAGACCCCGUGAACCUUUACUAUAGCUUGACACUGAACAUUGAGCCUUGAUGUGUAGGAUAGGUGGGAGGCUUUGAAGUGUGGACGCCAGUCUGCAUGGAGCCGACCUUGAAAUACCACCCUUUAAUGUUUGAUGUUCUAACGUGGACCCGUUACCCGGGUUGCGGACAGUGUCUGGUGGGUAGUUUGACUGGGGCGGUCUCCUCCUAAAGAGUAACGGAGGAGCACGAAGGUUGGCUAAUCCUGGUCGGACAUCAGGAGGUUAGUGCAAUGGCAUAAGCCAGCUUGACUGCGAGCGUGACGGCGCGAGCAGGUGCGAAAGCAGGUCAUAGUGAUCCGGUGGUUCUGAAUGGAAGGGCCAUCGCUCAACGGAUAAAAGGUACUCCGGGGAUAACAGGCUGAUACCGCCCAAGAGUUCAUAUCGACGGCGGUGUUUGGCACCUCGAUGUCGGCUCAUCACAUCCUGGGGCUGAAGUAGGUCCCAAGGGUAUGGCUGUUCGCCAUUUAAAGUGGUACGCGAGCUGGGUUUAGAACGUCGUGAGACAGUUCGGUCCCUAUCUGCCGUGGGCGCUGGAGAACUGAGGGGGGCUGCUCCUAGUACGAGAGGACCGGAGUGGACGCAUCACUGGUGUUCGGGUUGUCAUGCCAAUGGCACUGCCCGGUAGCUAAAUGCGGAAGAGAUAAGUGCUGAAAGCAUCUAAGCACGAAACUUGCCCCGAGAUGAGUUCUCCCUGAGACUUAGAGUCUCCUGAAGGAACGUUGAAGACGAC